CGAGCGGGGACGCCCGGGCUCCACGAACAGCUGGCCCCGCCCCGAGCCCGCGGCGGCGGCGGCGGCGGCUGCCAGGUCCGCACCGCCGCGGUCCUAGUGCCACCCGGAUCGGAUCGCGCCGGGGGUUUGCAGAGCAUUUUCACAGGUUUGCUGGGGAAAAGUGGAACUCUACCUUUCACCCGAAUUAUCCGGAGGAUUUGCAUCCCAAUCGCCCGGAGGGUUUGUUAAAAAGGAAUUGAAAAGCACCGCCAGCAAAAUUUCAGAUUCCGGGUCGGCCAACUUUUUCGACUAAGCGCUGGGAAGACAAAGUGCACCCAAGAGAUUGUUAACCCUAAAAAAGAGGAAUCAACAGGUCAGAGGCAAAUAAGGUUCUCACUCUGUCACCUGGGCUAGAGCACAGUAGCAUCA
Molecule: long non-coding RNA, 408 nt
Organism: Lemur catta (Ring-tailed lemur)
Lineage: Eukaryota; Metazoa; Chordata; Mammalia; Primates; Lemuridae
Exons: 3
Source: RefSeq, a predicted model, not a curated record